CAUGACAUUAGCCCAUAGUUGUCAUAUGAGACAUCUGUGGUUUUCCUGUGAUCAAGCUCCACAUCUGCUGUUCUAUUGAAACAACAGUUAAUCUUUGUCCCAGUCACUGCCACCAUCUUCUGUGAAGUCAGACUAACAGUAUGUAUGUAGCUGUCUAAAGAAUGACAUUGUUCAUCCCUGAUAUGGCUGGUCAUCUGUUUUUGCUCAUCCUCCUUUUCGAUACCUUCCAGUUCCUCAAAGCCAAAGUUUCCUGUGUGUAUCAAGAAUGGUCCACCACCCUAAGGACAUCCUGCCAACUUGACACAACUGUGGGAAGGAUUGGAGUCAACAUGGGUCAGCAUCCCUGUGGAAUG
Oncorhynchus masou masou (cherry salmon) is the source of this 353-nucleotide long non-coding RNA. RefSeq lists it as uncharacterized. Lineage: Eukaryota; Metazoa; Chordata; Actinopteri; Salmoniformes; Salmonidae. The transcript has 3 exons. The record is from RefSeq and is a predicted model, not a curated record.